Molecule: unclassified non-coding RNA, 337 nt
Filed under: soil metagenome
Description: partial contains 5.8S ribosomal RNA, internal transcribed spacer 2, and large subunit ribosomal RNA
Rfam family: 5.8S ribosomal RNA (bases 1-120)
Source: RNAcentral
GAUGAAGAACGUAGCGAAAUGCGAUAAGUAGUGUGAAUUGCAGAAUUCAGUGAAUCAUCGAAUCUUUGAACGCACAUUGCGCCCCUUGGUAUUCCAUGGGGCAUGCUUGUUCGAGCGUCAUUUGUACCUUCAAGCUCUGCUUGGUGUUGGGUGUUUGUCUCGCCUCUGCGUGUAGACUCGCCUCAAAACAAUUGGCAGCCGGCGUAUUGAUUUCGGAGCGCAGUACAUCUCGCGCUUUGCACUCAUAACGACGACGUCCAAAAGUACAUUUUUACACUCUUGACCUCGGAUCAGGUAGGGAUACCCGCUGAACUUAAGCAUAUCAAUAAGCGGAGGA